GAUGGUGAUUGGCGUGCAUGGGUGCGUUGGAUCCCUGCUUGGGCAGCGACAACGUACCUUGCUCGCCUCUUCAGUUCUUGGCAUAGGCACGCUGAGCCUUUACCGGAUGAUGUUUUCCUGUGUUAUAUACCCCCCCCAUUAAAAGGGCAUUGAAUUUGUUCAAUUGUAUCUGUUCGCUUCUUGUUGCGUCCCCUCGGAUUGUGGCACGUAGUGAACUUUAAAGCAUUGAUUGCGUUCCACUUUCCUUGCAUGCACGUGCUUGGGCUGUUGGGCCGUGGUCCUUGUUCGAUCUCUCGGUUGCGGAAUACCUUGUGGGAACGAGGCACUAGUGUCUCCAUUCGUCCCUUAUUGAGCGUUUAACGCUAUGUUCGAACGACAGUUGUGGCCGUCUUGACUAGGUCUUUAUGGCUCGGCUCAUGCGGUCCCAACGUCGAUGAGGAAUGCUACCUGGUGAUCCUGCCAGUAGUCAUAUGCUUGUCUCAAAGAUUAA
This 490-nucleotide unclassified non-coding RNA is filed under the name Alsobia dianthiflora. RNAcentral's name for it is "partial contains external transcribed spacer and 18S ribosomal RNA". Lineage: Eukaryota; Viridiplantae; Streptophyta; Magnoliopsida; Lamiales; Gesneriaceae. The record is from RNAcentral.